Molecule: unclassified non-coding RNA, 257 nt
Filed under: Campylospora parvula
Lineage: Eukaryota; Fungi; Ascomycota; Sordariomycetes
Description: partial contains 5.8S ribosomal RNA, internal transcribed spacer 2, and large subunit ribosomal RNA
Source: RNAcentral
CGCACAUUGCGCCCGUUAGUAUUCUAGCAGGCAUGCCUGUUCGAGCGUCAUUUCAACCCUCAGGUUAUAUGUACAACCUGGUGUUGGGGCACCUAUAGUGAUUAUAGGCCCUAAAAAUUAGUGGCAGGCUCACUGAGUUCCCGAGCGUAGUAGUAUCUUAUUUUCGCUUAGGGUGUACAGCGGGAUUACUAGCCGUUAAACCCCCAAAUUAUCUAAUGGUUGACCUCGGAUCAGGUAGGAAUACCCGCUGAACUUAA